RNAcentral lists this ribosomal RNA (444 nucleotides) under uncultured bacterium. RNAcentral's name for it is "bacterial SSU rRNA". It matches the Rfam family "Bacterial small subunit ribosomal RNA", at positions 330 to 792 of the family's 1533-position model. The record is from RNAcentral.
GCCAGACUCCUACGGGAGGCAGCAGUGGGGAAUAUUGCACAAUGGGGGAAACCCUGAUGCAGCAACGCCGCGUGAGUGAAGAAGUAUUUCGGUAUGUAAAGCUCUAUCAGCAGGGAAGAAGAUGACGGUACCUGACCAAGAAGCCCCGGCUAACUACGUGCCAGCAGCCGCGGUAAUACGUAGGGGGCAAGCGUUAUCCGGAUUUACUGGGUGUAAAGGGAGCGCAGACGGCAGUGCAAGUCUGGAGUGAAAGCCCGGGGCCCAACCCCGGACUGCUCUGGAAACUGUACGGCUGGAGUGCAGGAGAGGUAAGUGGAAUUCCUAGUGUAGCGGUGAAAUGCGUAGAUAUUAGGAGGAACACCAGUGGCGAAGGCGGCUUACUGGACUGUAACUGACGUUGAGGCUCGAAAGCGUGGGGAGCAAACAGGAUUAGAUACCCGAGUA